GAGAUUUUAUUAUAAGACAAAGUAUAGCUGUCUUUCAAACAGUUGGUAAUAAAUCUUA
This 58-nucleotide transfer RNA is filed under the name Pratylenchus vulnus (walnut meadow nematode). RNAcentral's name for it is "tRNA-Glu". Lineage: Eukaryota; Metazoa; Nematoda; Chromadorea; Rhabditida; Pratylenchidae. The record is from RNAcentral.